CCAAACCGUGCAGUGCUUUUUCCAUCUGUAAGUAUUUGUCAUGCACUGAGGCUGUAACUUGCUGUUUAAGGUGUGAUAGCAAAACUCACAUGAAUUUCCUUUUCCUUCAUAAUUUCACACAAGAGUCAUUCUUAACCAUGGAUCUUAGCAACCUCAUCCUGAUUUCAUUUCCUUUCCUCAUCACUUUUUAACUUAAAGCACUUUAUGGCCUCUCAGCAUCAUUGCUGCUUUUUUAAUUGCUACAUCAUAACUACCUAAUAGAUUUAUUGUGAUAUAUGUGUACAUGCACAUCGCAUAAUUUGGUGUAUUUUCCUCUACUUUUCUUUCCCUUCCUUUUCCCUAGUCCCCAUCCUCUACUCUAAUGGUCUUCCUCUUAUUUGCAUGAGAUCCUGUCUUCGUUCCCUUUUUUCUUUUUUCUCUCUAGUUUCCACAUAGAAGAGAAAACAUGACCCCUGACUUUCUGAGUUUUGACUCAUUUCAUUAGCUCCAGUUUCAUCCAUUUUCCUGCAAAAGACGUAAUUUUGUUCUUUAUGACUGAGUAGAAUGCCGUUGUGUGUAUAUAUCAGACAUUCAUUAUUCAUUCAUCUGUUGAGGCACAUCUACGCUGGUUCUAUAACUUGGCUAUUAUGAAUUAUGCUGCUAUAAAUGUGGGUACGCAUAUAUCACUAUAGUAAGCAGAAUCAUUACUCUUAAGCUUUGGGGCUACUAUUAAACAAAAUAAGGGUGACUUUUAAAGUCAUUGUUUAUUUCUGGAAUUUUCCAUUUAAUAUUUUCAGAAGGCUGGUAACUGAAACCACAGAAAUUGAAAACUGCUGAUGGUGGGGAGUGGACACUACAGCAAAAAUAAUGGGAUGUCACUUCCAUGAUAAGAUUAUAAAGAAUGGCUUCUUGUUGCUAGCUGUCUUUGAAGAGAUACAUGUGGCAAGAAGCUGAGGGAAACCUCUAGCCAACAGCUAAUGAGGACAGAGGCCCACAGUCCGGUUUCCACAAGGAACUGAAUCUUUCCAACCAUUGUCUGAGAGCUUGGAAUCAGAUCUUCCCCAAGUCCAGCUGUCGAUGGACCUGCACCCCUGGCUGACAGAUUGAUUGUAGCCUUGUAGGCCCAUAGGCAACUAGCUAAGCCAUGUUUAGACUUCUGACCCAGAGAAAUAGCUAUAAUGUGGUUUUAAGCUACUACAUUUUGGGAUAAUUAUUAUCCAGCAAUGGGUAAGUAAAUUGGGCUUUGGAAAAUAAAGUCAUUUCUAUAACUUUGUGACUUCAUCAGUAAUACUGGGGCCACAGUAUUGAGCAUAUUCUCUUCUCCUUCUCUUUCCUUCCCCCCAUCCCCUUUCCUCUUCCUCCCUCUCGCCUCAGCAGUACUGAGAAUUGAGCCCAGGGAUGCUCUACCACUGAGCUACAUCCCCACCCUUUUUAUUUUGAGACAGGUUCUCACUAAGUUCCCAGGCGAUCCUUGAACUUGUGAUUCUUCUGUUUCAUUCUCUAGAAUUACAGGUGGAGUGUGUUCUAAAUACCAUUUUUUUGGUGGGGGGAGUGGUGCUAGGUAUUGAGUCCCACAAACUGGUAUAUGCUGAGCAUGUGCUGUACCACUGAGCUAUACUCUGAACCCCUUUAAAUAUACUUAGUACACUAUCUCGUAUACCUGGUAAAAGAAGACAUAUAAAGAGUAUACUGAACUCCCAUAUUUCCUUCAGUUUUGCUUAUUUUUUUCAAGAUAGAUUCUACUCCUCAAAUUAUUUUGAAGCAAAUCCCAAAUAGUCUAUUAGCCCACUAUCAGCUUUGUAUUUAAGCAUUUUCUAAAAUAUACAAACCAAACACAAUGCCAUGAUCAUGCCUAAAUAAGCUUUUAAACCACACUCAAUACCUGAUUAGUAUUCAGAUUUUCAAAAUUUGUAUAGAUACCUCUGUAUACACUUAGAGUCAGAAUUCAGAAGAAGUUUACAUAUGGUAACUGGUUGAUAGCUUCUUAAAUCUUUUUAAAUGUAGGCCACACAGAGAACAGGGUGUGGCCACACCUGUAAUCCCAGUUGGGGAGUCUGAGGCAAAUUCGAGGCUAGCCUCACCAAUUUGAAACUCAAAAUGAAAAGAGGACUGGGGAUGUAACUCAGUAACCCCGGGUUCAAUCCCCAGUACAAUAAAAAUAAAAUAAAAAAGUUCUAGGCCACUCCUCAGUUACAUUCUGUCCCCCCUGCUUUCUUUGUUAGUUUAUUCCUUGUUAAGAUAUGAUGGUCUGAUCCUAUGC
Molecule: long non-coding RNA, 2239 nt
Filed under: Marmota monax (woodchuck)
Lineage: Eukaryota; Metazoa; Chordata; Mammalia; Rodentia; Sciuridae
Source: RNAcentral